CCACACUGAAGGUACCGAAGAGCCGCAUGUGGCUCGCGAACUACAGUUUGGCCACCAUGGGUCUAUAAUCUUGAUCAAUAAACUUUAAGUCUUUUCGUGAAAUAGAAAAAUAGCGAGGCUGUUCGUUUGAAUAUUAUAUCAUUAAUGAAGUUUGUGCAGUUGACGUCACAGUCACAUAUCAGAAGUACAAGUCUGAGAGCUUGGGUGUUUGUAGGCUUACUGUAUCAGAAACAGAGGAUGUCUAAUUCGUGUUGUGUAUUUGGAUGCAGCAAUAAUAACACAAAGACGUGUAGAGAGAAAAAUAUUUCGUUUCACUUCUUCCCACAUGGUAAGCCAUCUCUUUUAUUUUUGGUCGUUUUUGCAUUAUUAUUGCUGCAACCGAAUGCAC
Molecule: long non-coding RNA, 388 nt
Filed under: Androctonus crassicauda
Lineage: Eukaryota; Metazoa; Arthropoda; Arachnida; Scorpiones; Buthidae
Source: RNAcentral